RNAcentral lists this ribosomal RNA (429 nucleotides) under Bacteroidota bacterium. Its description in RNAcentral is "Bacteroidetes bacterium partial 16S ribosomal RNA". It matches the Rfam family "Bacterial small subunit ribosomal RNA", at positions 355 to 776 of the family's 1533-position model. The record is from RNAcentral. Lineage: Bacteria; Pseudomonadati; Bacteroidota.
UAGGGAAUCUUCCGCAAUGGACGCAAGUCUGACGGAGCAACGCCGCGUGAGUGAAGAAGGAUUUCGGUUCGUAAAACUCUGUUGUUAGAGAAGAACAGCGCAUAUAGUAACUGUUAUGCGUGUGACGGUAUCUAACCAGAAAGCCACGGCUAACUACGUGCCAGCAGCCGCGGUAAUACGUAGGUGGCAAGCGUUGUCCGGAUUUAUUGGGCGUAAAGCGAGCGCAGGCGGUCAAUUAAGUCUGAUGUGAAAGCCCCCGGCUCAACCGGGGAGGGUCAUUGGAAACUGGUUGACUUGAGUGCAGAAGAGGGGAGUGGAAUUCCAUGUGUAGCGGUGAAAUGCGUAGCUAUAUGGAGGACCACCAGUGGCGAAGUCGACUCUCUGGUCUGUAACUGACGCUGAGGCUCGAAAGCGUGGGUAGCAAACAGG